This 81-nucleotide transfer RNA is filed under the name Butyrivibrio sp. M55. It matches the Rfam family "tRNA". Rfam says of the family: Transfer RNA (tRNA) molecules are approximately 80 nucleotides in length. Their secondary structure includes four short double-helical elements and three loops (D, anti-codon, and T loops). The record is from Rfam by way of RNAcentral. Lineage: Bacteria; Bacillati; Bacillota; Clostridia; Lachnospirales; Lachnospiraceae.
GCACGAGUGCGAAACCGGUAAUCGCACCUGACGUAAAGUCAGCGGCAGAAAUGCAUGUGGGUUCGAAUCCCUCCUCGUGUA